UUGAACGCUGGCGGCAGGCCUAACACAUGCAAGUCGAGCGGCAGCGCGGGGCAACCUGGCGGCGAGCGGCGGACGGGUGAGUAACGCGUAGGAAUCUACCCAGUAGCGGGGGAUAGCCCGGGGAAACUCGGAUUAAUACCGCAUACGCCCUAAGGGGGAAAGCAGGGGAUCGUAAGACCUUGCACUAUUGGAAGAGACUGCGUUGGAUUAGCUAGUUGGUAGGGUAAAGGCCUACCAAGGCGACGAUCCAUAACUGGUCUGAGAGGAUGAUCAGUCACACCGGAAAUGAGACACGGUCCGGACUCCUACGGGAGGCAGCAGUGGGGAAUAUUGGACAAUGGGGGGAACCCUGAUCCAGCCAUGCCGCGUGUGUGAAGAAGGCCUUAUGGUUGUAAGGCACUUUAAGCGAGGAGGAGGCUCUUUUGGUUAAUACCCAAGAUGAGUGGACGUUACUCGCAGAAUAAGCACCGGCUAACUCUGUGCCAGCAGCCGCCGCGG
Molecule: ribosomal RNA, 498 nt
Filed under: uncultured bacterium
Lineage: Bacteria
Description: partial 16S ribosomal RNA
Rfam family: Bacterial small subunit ribosomal RNA
Source: RNAcentral